CUUUCCUAUCGCAAAUUUUUUUAUACUAUCUUGAGCUUUGCCGCAUUUUGAAACAAUCUUUGUACCGCUACACGACGUCACCGUCCCGAGCCAAUUGUGUGUGUGAGUGUGUGUGUGAGUCAUUCAGAUUUGAUUUGAAAAGGAACUUCCUUCCUUGCCGGAACUUUUUAUCAUACGUGGAUUUCAUGAAGCGUGUUGGUCUCCAUCGGAACCUUUUCAUGAACGUGCUGAGACCCAAAUAUUUACAUUCUGCCAUGUUCUGGGGCCUGACAGUCAAAGGUUGAGAGAGUGAAUGAUUAAAUGGUAUGUUGGAGGAUGUCCCAUCAAUCAGGAAACCUUUUUAAAGCAAAUUUACUGUGUUUUAUACUGGCCGAACAGCUUUCGACUUAAGUGAAGAGGUACUACCACAAAAGUGUACGGAAAAUAAAAUCAUUAAUUACAAGGUUGUUACCACAUUUCGUUCGGCGGGAAUAAAAAAAAAAGUUUGGAACUC
Long non-coding RNA from Pocillopora damicornis (cauliflower coral), 493 nucleotides. Lineage: Eukaryota; Metazoa; Cnidaria; Anthozoa; Scleractinia; Pocilloporidae. The record is from RefSeq and is a predicted model, not a curated record.